This 381-nucleotide transfer-messenger RNA is filed under the name Bradyrhizobium sp. CB1650. It matches the Rfam family "Alphaproteobacteria transfer-messenger RNA". From Rfam's summary of the family: Bacterial tmRNA, also known as 10Sa RNA or SsrA, is named for its dual tRNA and mRNA-like properties. Its role is to liberate the mRNA from a stalled ribosome. To accomplish this part of the tmRNA is used as a reading frame that ends in a translation stop signal. Lineage: Bacteria; Pseudomonadati; Pseudomonadota; Alphaproteobacteria; Hyphomicrobiales; Nitrobacteraceae. The record is from RNAcentral.
CCUCUGUUUUUUGAAACGUUUGCCCCCUAUAUUGGGGGUGCCGGUUCGCCGGCUAUGGAAAUAAACGGUCGUCGCAAUAAACCAUUCGGACCCGGGGGCGGUACCCGGCGCCUCCACCAAAGCCCACCGGAUAGCGGGCUCCGGCCCGCGCAAAAAAAAGCGGGCUUUGGCGGGGGCGAAAUAGGAUCGACGAGGGCGUAAAGGGCGUACUUUUUCCCGGUAUUGUUCCGCCGUUAUCGGGCUACUGCAAUAGUUGCCAACGACAACUUUGCUCCGGUUGCUCAGGCUGCGUAACGCAGUUUGAAAGACCACUCUAAAGUCCUAGUGGGUUAAGCUCCGCUAGGCGGGGUUCGGAGGCACCUGGCAACAGAAGCCUCCACU